This 270-nucleotide signal recognition particle RNA is filed under the name Papio anubis (olive baboon). RNAcentral's name for it is "Metazoan signal recognition particle RNA (ENSPANG00000051100.1)". It matches the Rfam family "Metazoan signal recognition particle RNA". Rfam says of the family: The signal recognition particle (SRP) is a universally conserved ribonucleoprotein. It is involved in the co-translational targeting of proteins to membranes. Lineage: Eukaryota; Metazoa; Chordata; Mammalia; Primates; Cercopithecidae. The record is from RNAcentral.
GCUGGGCAAGGUGGCGGGCGCCUGUAGUCCCAGCUACUCAGGAGGCUGAGGCAGGAGAAUGGUGUGAACCUGGGAGGCGGAGCUUACAGUGAGCCGAGAUCACGCCACUGUACUCCAGCCUGGGUGACAGAGCGAGACUCCGUCUCAAAAAAAAAAAAAAAAAGAAAGACAUACAGAGUCUCGCUUUAUCGCCCAGGCUGGAGUGCAGUGGUGCGAUCUCGGUUCGCUGCAACCUCCGCCUCCCAGGUUCAAGUGAUUCUCCUGUCUCAG